This 28-nucleotide non-coding RNA is filed under the name Rattus norvegicus (Norway rat). The record is from RNAcentral. Lineage: Eukaryota; Metazoa; Chordata; Mammalia; Rodentia; Muridae.
UGAAAAGGGCAGGAGGCAUUGACCUAGA